GCCCAUUUAGAGCAGUGGUUAGCUCGCUCGUCUCCGGUAUAGACGCGGACAACGAGAAGGCAGGGGUUCGAAUCCCCUAAUGGGUG
Nemania serpens is the source of this 86-nucleotide non-coding RNA. The record is from the annotation of a GenBank genome assembly. Lineage: Eukaryota; Fungi; Ascomycota; Sordariomycetes; Xylariales; Xylariaceae.